Molecule: ribosomal RNA, 424 nt
Filed under: uncultured bacterium
Lineage: Bacteria
Description: partial 16S ribosomal RNA
Rfam family: Bacterial small subunit ribosomal RNA
Source: RNAcentral
AAUAUUGGACAAUGGGGGGAACCCUGAUCCAGCCAUGCCGCGUGUGUGAAGAAGGUCUNCGGAUUNUNAAGCACUUUAAGUUGGGNAGAAGAGUUGUAGGCUAAUACCUUGCAAUUUUGACGUUACCAACAGAAUAAGCACCGGCUAACUUCGUGCCAGCAGCCGCGGUACUACGAAGGGUGCAACCGUUAAUCGGAAUUACUGGGCGUAAAGCGCGCGUAGGUGGUUCGUUAAGUUGGAAGUGAAAGCCCCGGGCUUAACCUGGGAAUUGCUUUCAAAACUGACGAGCUAGAGUACGGUAGAGGGUAGUGUAAUUUCCUGUGUAGCGGUGAAAUGCGUAGAUAUAGGAAGGAACAUCAGUGGCGAAGGCGGCUACCUGGACUGAUACUGACACUGAGGUGCGAAAGCGUGGGGAGCAAACAGG